CAGUAAGUGGGAAGAAACUUCCUUUCAGAGUUCUAGGUCUCAUUUAGUUUAUAAAAGGGCACUUUGGGUACAGAUGGGUACAGAGGUCACAACACUAAAGAUUUUACUCAUGGUAAGAAUUUGAGAGAAGGAAUCUGGACUCCAGCUUAAAGGGGAAAGAUAGGUGAAAUAGUAUUAUUUAACUUAGUUGGUAUUUAUAAUAAAUGGUGAUUUUAAUUACUCAUAAUAUGUUUAUUUACAGUCUAACCCUUGAAUGCUUCUAAAUAAACCACAAUUCAAACUGAAAAAAAAAAAAAAA
RNAcentral lists this long non-coding RNA (298 nucleotides) under Rattus norvegicus (Norway rat). Its description in RNAcentral is "long non-coding RNA NONRATT009375". The record is from RNAcentral. Lineage: Eukaryota; Metazoa; Chordata; Mammalia; Rodentia; Muridae.